RNAcentral lists this small RNA (29 nucleotides) under Bombyx mori (domestic silkworm). RNAcentral describes it as "ovarian small RNA-18525". Lineage: Eukaryota; Metazoa; Arthropoda; Insecta; Lepidoptera; Bombycidae. The record is from RNAcentral.
UAACAAACUUUUUGUGACCUAGGACAGAA